This 756-nucleotide ribosomal RNA is filed under the name uncultured bacterium. RNAcentral's name for it is "bacterial SSU rRNA". It matches the Rfam family "Bacterial small subunit ribosomal RNA", at positions 28 to 776 of the family's 1533-position model. The record is from RNAcentral.
AUUGAACGCUGGCGGCAGGCUUAACACAUGCAAGUCGAACGGUAACGGGUUGAAAGCUUGCUUUCAAUGCUGACGAGUGGCGGACGGGUGAGUAAGGCUUGGGGAUCUGGCUUUUGGAGGGGGAUAACCAUUGGAAACGAUGGCUAAUACCGCAUAGUAUCGAGAGAUGAAAGGGGUGGGAAACCACUUGCCAAGGGAUGAACCCAAGUGAGAUUAGGUAGUUGGUGGGGUAAAGGCCUACCAAGCCGACGAUCUCUAGCUGGUCUGAGAGGAUGGCCAGCCACACUGGGACUGAGACACGGCCCAGACUCCUACGGGAGGCAGCAGUGGGGAAUAUUGCGCAAUGGGGGGAACCCUGACGCAGCCAUGCCGCGUGAAUGAAGAAGGCCUUCGGGUUGUAAAGUUCUUUCGGUGGUGAGGAAGGUGGUAGUGUUAAUAGCGCUAUUGUUUGACGUUAGCCACAGAAGAAGCACCGGCUAACUCCGUGCCAGCAGCCGCGGUAAUACGGAGGGUGCGAGCGUUAAUCGGAAUAACUGGGCGUAAAGGGCACGCAGGCGGGACGUUAAGUGAGAUGUGAAAGCCCCGGGCUUAACCUGGGAACAGCAUUUCAUACUGGCGUACUAGAGUACUUUAGGGAGGGGUAGAAUUCCACGUGUAGCGGUGAAAUGCGUAGAGAUGUGGAGGAAUACCGAAGGCGAAGGCAGCCCCUUGNGAAGAUACUGACGCUCAUGUGCGAAAGCGUGGGGAGCAAACAGG